This 468-nucleotide ribosomal RNA is filed under the name uncultured bacterium. RNAcentral describes it as "partial 16S ribosomal RNA". It matches the Rfam family "Bacterial small subunit ribosomal RNA", at positions 28 to 507 of the family's 1533-position model. The record is from RNAcentral.
GACGAACGCUGGCGGCGUGCUUAACACAUGCAAGUCGAACGGAAAGGCCCUGCUUUUGUGGGGUGCUCGAGUGGCGAACGGGUGAGUAACACGUGAGUAACCUGCCCUUGACUUUGGGAUAACUUCAGGAAACUGGGGCUAAUACCGGAUAGGAGCUCCUGCUGCAUGGUGGGGGUUGGAAAGUUUCGGCGGUUGGGGAUGGACUCGCGGCUUAUCAGCUUGUUGGUGGGGUAGUGGCUUACCAAGGCUUUGACGGGUAGCCGGCCUGAGAGGGUGACCGGCCACAUUGGGACUGAGAUACGGCCCAGACUCCAACGGGAGGCAGCAGUGGGGAAUAUUGCACAAUGGGCGGAAGCCUGAUGCAGCAACGCCGCGUGCGGGAUGACGGCCUUCGGGUUGUAAACAGAUUUCGCCUGUGACGAAGCGUGAGUGACGGUAAUGGGUAAAGAAGCACCGGCUAACUACGUG